GACGAACGCCGGCGGCGUGCUUAACACAUGCAAGUCGAACGGAAAGGCCCUGCUUUUGUGGGGUGCUCGAGUGGCGAACGGGUGAGUAACACGUGAGUAACCUGCCCUUGACUUUGGGAUAACUUCAGGAAACUGGGGCUAAUACCGGAUAGGAGCUCCUGCUGCAUGGUGGGGGUUGGAAAGUUUCGGCGGUUGGGGAUGGACUCGCGGCUUAUCAGCUUGUUGGUGGGGUAGUGGCUUGCCAAGGCUUUGACGGGUAGCCGGCCUGAGAGGGUGACCGGCCACAUUGGGACUGAGAUACGGCCCAGACUCCUACGGGAGGCAGCAGUGGGGAAUAUUGCACAAUGGGCGGAAGCCUGAUGCAGCAACGCCGCGUGCGGGAUGACGGCCUUCGGGUUGUAAACCGCUUUCGCCUGUGACGAAGCGUGAGUGACGGUAAUGGGUAAAGAAGCACCGGCUAACUACGUG
This 468-nucleotide ribosomal RNA is filed under the name uncultured bacterium. RNAcentral describes it as "partial 16S ribosomal RNA". It matches the Rfam family "Bacterial small subunit ribosomal RNA", at positions 28 to 507 of the family's 1533-position model. The record is from RNAcentral.